RNAcentral lists this long non-coding RNA (536 nucleotides) under Sarcophilus harrisii (Tasmanian devil). RNAcentral describes it as "lncRNA (ENSSHAG00000021254.1)". Lineage: Eukaryota; Metazoa; Chordata; Mammalia; Dasyuromorphia; Dasyuridae. The record is from RNAcentral.
AGGGAGAUAUGAAUAAAAUGUAGCCACUGCCCAGUCUGCCAGGGUUGAGGGGGAGAGAGGAGUGAAAAGAGUUGGGGAUGGGGGGGCACAUCAGCCCGUAGUCUACCCGCUGCAUUAGAGACAUUGAGCCAUAAACCAGGGCAACUUGGAUUGCAGGAGUUCUGACAGUGCUCCUCAUACCUGGGCAGACAAGAUGGCCCAAAUGGUAGAAUCUAUGUAUUUGAGACUUAGGUCAAUUAAUGGAUAAGGAUUCCUGGGAUGGAAGCUGAAGAAGUCUGACCUUACUUAAAUUAUAAACAAGAUUCCACAUUCAUGCAUGAGAUGUUGGAGUUGCUCAAAACAGAUCUGCUCCUCCAGAAUUAACUGGGCAAAGGUGAAUUGGAGAAGUUUGGAAGCUUGUAAUCUUCAAAAAGGUUGGAAGAAGAAAUCAGAAACCAGGGACCAGUGUCUCUAUAGUGUCAAUAUAGCAAUUGAAACCAGUGAGGCAACACUGAGCUGCUUAAAAUGGUGUAGCAGUGGUUCUGUGGCGGGCAAGA